RNAcentral lists this ribosomal RNA (429 nucleotides) under Acidobacteriota bacterium. RNAcentral describes it as "Acidobacteria bacterium partial 16S ribosomal RNA". It matches the Rfam family "Bacterial small subunit ribosomal RNA", at positions 355 to 776 of the family's 1533-position model. Lineage: Bacteria; Pseudomonadati; Acidobacteriota. The record is from RNAcentral.
UGGGGAAUUUUGGACAAUGGGGGAAACCCUGAUCCAGCCAUCCCGCGUGUGCGAUGAAGGCCUUCGGGUUGUAAAGCACUUUUGGCAGGAAAGAAACGUCAUGGGUUAAUACCCCGUGAAACUGACGGUACCUGCAGAAUAAGCACCGGCUAACUACGUGCCAGCAGCCGCGGAAAUACGUAGGGUGCAAGCGUUAAUCGGAAUUACUGGGCGUAAAGCGUGCGCAGGAGGUUCGGAAAGAAGGAUGUGAAAUCCCAGAGCUCAACUUUGGAACUGCAGUAUUAACUACCGGGCUAUAGUGUGUCAGAGGGAGGUGGAAUUCCGCUUGUAGCACUGAAAUGCGUGGAUAUGCGGAGGAACACCGAUGGCGAAGGCAGCCUCCUGGGAUAACACUGACGCUCAUGCACGAAAGAGUGGGGAGCAAACAGG